AGAACUGGGCCUCUGUCUUGUCUCUGUUCAGUCUCGCCCCAGAGGCUCGUCCGUACCAGUCAGUCCUGUCCAGAGUCCAGCUCGGCCUUUUGGCUAAGAUCAAGUGUACUGCGCAUGAUCAGAGAAGCGAUCAGCAGGCCGGAGGGCGCCCGGAGACAGUGCUAUUUACUUUGUUAAAAGUCAUUUCUGUUGUUUUGUUUCACUAUUGUUUUCUGUCCUGGGUUAGGUGGUGGUUCUGGUGGUGGACUACAGGUGCACCAGCACCUGUAGGGAAAUGGGAGGAUAAGUGGCAGCAUGGGCCCUCCAUUUGGAGUGGUUCCAAUUUUAACAAGAACGACGGUGUUGCUAUUUUAAUCAAGACCCCACAGGUGGUGGUGAAGGGGAGCACGGUGGUGGUAGGAUCGGGAACCAGUAUGUCCAGUGCGCGGGCUCGCUAUAGGUGAGCCCACAACGGUUUGGCGCAACGUGGCCCAUCCUGCUCUCCUGAAUCGGCUUCGGGACCUGUCCUGGAUGGUCGCCCACGAGAUCCUCCCGGUCAGGGCCGUUAUGCACUCACGGGGCAUGGCGAGGAUAUCCGCGUGCCCCCGACCAAGCUGCGGCCAAGAAGAGUCGGUGAGGCACAUGCUCUGGGAGUGCAGAGCCGCCAGGGACCUGUGGAAGGAAGCAGGCCCCCUGAUCACCUCGUGUCUGCCAGCAGGGGAGGACCUAACACCUCAGCUCGUGCUGCCCCUUUACUUUCAGUGCAGCAAACUCUCUCCAGAAGUUCAGUGAGGAUCUCUGAAUGAUCCAAUGUUGACCUAAAUGAUUAAUGAUGAUAAAUACAAUCCACCUGUGUGUAAUCAAGUCUCCGUAUAAAUGCACCUGCACUGUGAUAGUCUCAGAGGUCCGUUAAAAGCGCAGAGAGCAUCAUGAAGAACAAGGAACACACCAGGCAGGUCCGAGAUACUGUUGUGAAGAAUUUUAACGCCGGAUUUGGAUACAAAAAGAUUUCCCAAGCUUUAAACAUCCCAAGGAGCACUGUGCAAGCGAUAAUAUUGAAAUGGAAGGAGUAUCAGACCACUGCAAAUCUACCAAGACCUGGCCGUCC
This is a long non-coding RNA of Oncorhynchus masou masou (cherry salmon), 1087 nucleotides long. RefSeq lists it as uncharacterized. The transcript is spliced from 3 exons. The record is from RefSeq and is a predicted model, not a curated record. Lineage: Eukaryota; Metazoa; Chordata; Actinopteri; Salmoniformes; Salmonidae.